This 738-nucleotide ribosomal RNA is filed under the name uncultured bacterium. RNAcentral describes it as "bacterial SSU rRNA". It matches the Rfam family "Bacterial small subunit ribosomal RNA", at positions 28 to 754 of the family's 1533-position model. The record is from RNAcentral.
GAUGAACGCUAGCUACCGGUUUAACACAUGCAAGUCGAGGGGCAGCAUUUUAGUUUGCUUGCAAACUAAAGAUGGCGACCGGCGCACGGGUGAGUAACACGUAUCCAACCUGCCGAUAACUCGGGGAUAGCCUUUCGAAAGAAAGAUUAAUAUCCGAUAGUAUAUUAGAACCGCAUGGUUUUACUAUUAAAGAAUUUCGGUUAUCGAUGGGGAUGCGUUCCAUUAGUUUGUUGGCGGGGUAACGGCCCACCAAGACUACGAUGGAUAGGGGUUCUGAGAGGAAGGUCCCCCACAUUGGAACUGAGACACGGUCCAAACUCCUACGGGAGGCAGCAGUGAGGAAUAUUGGUCAAUGGACGAGAGUCUGAACCAGCCAAGUAGCGUGAAGGAUGACUGCCCUAUGGGUUGUAAACUUCUUUUAUAUGGGAAUAAAGUAUUCCACGUGUGGGAUUUUGUAUGUACCAUAUGAAUAAGGAUCGGCUAACUCCGUGCCAGCAGCCGCGGUAAUACGGAGGAUCCGAGCGUUAUCCGGAUUUAUUGGGUUUAAAGGGAGCGUAGGUGGAUUGUUAAGUCAGUUGUGAAAGUUUGCGGCUCAACCGUAAAAUUGCAGUUGAAACUGGCAGUCUUGAGUACAGUAGAGGUGGGCGGAAUUCGUGGUGUAGCGGUGAAAUGCUUAGAUAUCACGAAGAACUCCGAUUGCGAAGGCAGCUCACUAGACUGCAACUGACACUGAUGCUC